GAUGAACGCUGGCGGCGUGCCUAAUACAUGCAAGUCGAGCGAAUGGACGAGAAGCUUGCUUCUCUGAUGUUAGCGGCGGACGGGUGAGUAACACGUGGAUAACCUACCUAUAAGACUGGGAUAACUUCGGGAAACCGUAGCUAAUACCGGAUAAUAUUUUGAACCGCAUGGUUCAAAAGUGAAAGACGGUCUUGCUGUCACUUAUAGAUGGAUCCGCGCUGCAUUAGCUAGUUGGUAAGGUAACGGCUUACCAAGGCAACGAUGCAUAGCCGACCUGAGAGGGUGAUCGGCCACACUGGAACUGAGACACGGUCCAGACUCCUACGGGAGGCAGCAGUAGGGAAUCUUCCGCAAAGGGCGAAAGCCUGGCGGAGCAACGCCGCGUGAGUGAUGAAGGUCUUCGGAUCGUAAAACUCUGUUAUUAGGGAAGAACAUAUGUGUAAGUAACUGUGCACAUCUUGACGGUACCUAAUCAGAAAGCCACGGCUAACUACGUG
RNAcentral lists this ribosomal RNA (497 nucleotides) under uncultured bacterium. RNAcentral's name for it is "partial 16S ribosomal RNA". It matches the Rfam family "Bacterial small subunit ribosomal RNA", at positions 28 to 507 of the family's 1533-position model. The record is from RNAcentral.